GAUGAAGAACGUAGCGAAAUGCGAUAAGUAAUGUGAAUUGUAGAAUUCAGUGAAUCAUCGAAUCUUUGAACGCACAUUGCGCCCGCCAGUAUUCUGGCGGGCAUGCCUGUUCGAGCGUCAUUUCAACCAUCAAGCCCCCGGCUUGUGUUGGGGACCUGCGGCUGCCGCAGGCCCUGAAAACCAGUGGCGGGCUCGCUAGUCACUCCGAGCGUAGUAAUACAUCUCGCUCAGGGCGUGCUGCGGGUUCCGGCCGUUAAAAAGCCUUAUUUACCCAAGGUUGACCUCGGAUCAGGUAGGAAGACCCGCUGAACUUAAGCAUAUCAAUAAGCGGAGGA
Molecule: unclassified non-coding RNA, 335 nt
Filed under: soil metagenome
Description: partial contains 5.8S ribosomal RNA, internal transcribed spacer 2, and large subunit ribosomal RNA
Rfam family: 5.8S ribosomal RNA (bases 1-120)
Source: RNAcentral